UACGUAGGGUGCAAGCGUUCAUCGGAAUUACUGGGCGUAAAGCGUGCGCAGGCGGUUAUGCAAGAAAGAGGGGAAAUCCCCGGGCUCAACCUGGGAACUGCCUUUGUGACUGCAAGGCUUGAGUGCGGCAGAGGGGGAUGGAAUUCCGCGUGUAGCAGUGAAAUGCGUAGAUAUGCGGAGGAACACCGAUGGCGAAGGCAAUCCCCUGGGCCUGCACUGACGCUCAUGCACGAAAGCGUGGGGAGCAAACAGG
RNAcentral lists this ribosomal RNA (253 nucleotides) under uncultured bacterium. RNAcentral's name for it is "partial 16S ribosomal RNA". It matches the Rfam family "Bacterial small subunit ribosomal RNA", at positions 524 to 776 of the family's 1533-position model. The record is from RNAcentral.